AGGAGACCACAGAGAGAGCCAGUUCCCUGCGUUCAGAGAACACUAGCCGCCUCCGGUCCCCGGUGGGUGGCUGUAUGUGUGGAAAUGAAACUGGGAGGAGGAGGGAGAGAGGGAAGAGCAGGCACGCACUUCGCGGCUGUCAUCCACCUGGCCUCUCUCGACCCGCCAGCCCACUCCCCACCGGGGAAACACAGCCCAUCUGACUCACCGGGAGGGCCGCACCGACCCCCUGGCAGGCUUAGCCUGGAGACUGACGCGGGGCGCCGGUUCUCCCGGGACCAGACCGAACCUGGGCACUACGGCUGGGGCUGGGUUGAUUUAUAUAUAAAUAAAGGCACAUUCGAUCCAA
This is a long non-coding RNA of Cebus imitator (Panamanian white-faced capuchin), 349 nucleotides long. RefSeq lists it as uncharacterized. Lineage: Eukaryota; Metazoa; Chordata; Mammalia; Primates; Cebidae. The transcript has 2 exons. The record is from RefSeq and is a predicted model, not a curated record.